RNAcentral lists this ribosomal RNA (497 nucleotides) under uncultured bacterium. Its description in RNAcentral is "partial 16S ribosomal RNA". It matches the Rfam family "Bacterial small subunit ribosomal RNA", at positions 28 to 507 of the family's 1533-position model. The record is from RNAcentral.
GAUGAACGCUGGCGGCGUGCCUAAUACAUGCAAGUCGGGCGAACGGACGAGAAGCUUGCUUCUCUGAUGUUAGCGGCGGACGGGUGAGUAACACGUGGAUAACCUACCUAUAAGACUGGGAUAACUUCGGGAAACCGUAGCUAAUACCGGAUAAUAUUUUGAACCGCAUGGUUCAAAAGUGAAAGACGGUCUUGCUGCCACUUAUAGAUGGAUCCGCGCUGCAUUAGCUAGUUGGUAAGGUAACGGCUUACCAAGGCAACGAUGCAUAGCCGACCUGAGAGGGUGAUCGGCCACACUGGAACUGAGACACGGUCCAGACUCCUACGGGAGGCAGCAGUAGGGAAUCUUCCGCAAUGGGCGAAAGCCUGACGGAGCAACGCCGCGUGAGUGAUGAAGGUCUUCGGAUCGUAAAACUCUGUUAUUAGGGAAGAACAUAUGUGUAAGUAACUGUGCACAUCUUGACGGUACCUAAUCAGAAAGCCACGGCUAACUACGUG